GCAGUCGAGCGCACUCUUCGGAGUGAGCGGCGGACGGGUUAGUAACGCGUGGGAACGUGCCCUUCUCUAAGGAAUAGCCACUGGAAACGGUGAGUAAUACCUUAUACGCCCUUCGGGGGAAAGAUUUAUCGGAGAAGGAUCGGCCCGCGUUAGAUUAGAUAGUUGGUGGGGUAAUGGCCUACCAAGUCUACGAUCUAUAGCUGGUUUUAGAGGAUGAUCAGCAACACUGGGACUGAGACACGGCCCAGACUCCUACGGGAGGCAGCAGUGGGGAAUCUUGGACAAUGGGCGCAAGCCUGAUCCAGCCAUGCCGCGUGAGUGAUGAAGGCCUUAGGGUCGUAAAGCUCUUUCGCCAGAGAUGAUAAUGACAGUAUCUGGUAAAGAAACCCCGGCUAACUCCGUGCCAGCAGCCGCGGUAAUACGGAGGGGGUUAGCGUUGUUCGGAAUUACUGGGCGUAAAGCGUACGUAGGCGGAUUAGUAAGUUAGAGGUGAAAUCCCAGGGCUCAACCUUGGAACUGCCUUUAAUACUGCUAGUCUUGAGUUCGAGAGAGGUGAGUGGAAUUCCAAGUGUAGAGGUGAAAUUCGUAGAUAUUUGGAGGAACACCAGUGGCGAAGGCGGCU
RNAcentral lists this ribosomal RNA (622 nucleotides) under uncultured bacterium. RNAcentral's name for it is "bacterial SSU rRNA". It matches the Rfam family "Bacterial small subunit ribosomal RNA", at positions 57 to 726 of the family's 1533-position model. The record is from RNAcentral.